AUCAAUUGAAAAAUAAAGCCAUGAUGAUAGAUUGCCUAAGUGACUUGAUGUUUAGAAUUGCUAAUGAUGUGGAAGGUCUAGGUAAAUAUGCUUCUAAGGUUAACACCCAACUAGAUCAAGUAGCUAAGUCACAAAAUGAUUUGCUUGCUAAAAUGAAUAAUAUUAAUGAUCAUGUUGUAAGAGUAAUGACUAGAAGAUGUAGAAUGACUCAUGAACCCCUUUUACCUGAAGGUCAUCCUAAAAUAAUAACACAUGAUUUUCACAUAAUUAAUGAUGAAACUCCUAGUCCCACUAAGAAGAAAAACAAAAAGAAAAC
This 316-nucleotide long non-coding RNA is filed under the name Hordeum vulgare. RNAcentral's name for it is "long non-coding RNA (HVUL_LNC003618)". Lineage: Eukaryota; Viridiplantae; Streptophyta; Magnoliopsida; Poales; Poaceae. The record is from RNAcentral.